GUCCACGCCGUAAACGAUGUCGAUUUGGAGGCUGUGUCCUUGAGACGUGGCUUCCGGAGCUAACGCGUUAAAUCGACCGCCUGGGGAGUACGGCCGCAAGGUUAAAACUCAAAUGAAUUGACGGGGGCCCGCACAAGCGGUUGAGCAUGUGGUUUAAUUCGAUGCAACGCGAAGAACCUUACCUGGCCUUGACAUGUCUGGAAUCCUGCAGAGAUGCGGGAGUGCCUUCGGGAAUCAGAACACAGGUGCUGCAUGGCUGUCGU
Molecule: ribosomal RNA, 263 nt
Filed under: uncultured bacterium
Lineage: Bacteria
Description: partial 16S ribosomal RNA
Rfam family: Bacterial small subunit ribosomal RNA
Source: RNAcentral